AUGUAUAUUGUCUCCAUGGUAUCUCUUUCUUUCUGUUGUAAUGGACCGCGGCGUCCGGGUCGGCCUCCUCGUUCCCGGGGGGCUGUGGUCGGCCGGCGCGGUGGUUGGGGCCGUUCUGCUGUAUCGCCCUUGUGUCGGCUCGGCCCGUAUGUAUGGAGCAUGCUCCGGCGUUUGAUGAUCAUGCAUGCAGUCUGUUGCCGGCUCAUGGGAUGCCAGAGCGAGCGCCCCGGCAAGCGGCGCCACUCGUGCGACAACGGUUGCGCCUCCGUCCGGUGCUACCCGAUGGACGGCGGCGUCUGCUCCGCCGGGUCCAGUACGUCUAUAACCAGCACGGCUGCCAGAGCUGCGUAG
RNAcentral lists this ribosomal RNA (351 nucleotides) under Triticum aestivum (bread wheat). RNAcentral describes it as "partial small subunit ribosomal RNA". Lineage: Eukaryota; Viridiplantae; Streptophyta; Magnoliopsida; Poales; Poaceae. The record is from RNAcentral.